RNAcentral lists this ribosomal RNA (353 nucleotides) under Nannizzia gypsea. RNAcentral's name for it is "eukaryotic LSU rRNA". It matches the Rfam family "Eukaryotic large subunit ribosomal RNA", at positions 1 to 347 of the family's 3401-position model. Lineage: Eukaryota; Fungi; Ascomycota; Eurotiomycetes; Onygenales; Arthrodermataceae. The record is from RNAcentral.
UUGACCUCGGAUCAGGUAGGGAUACCCGCUGAACUUAAGCAUAUCAAUAAGCGGAGGAAAAGAAACCAACAGGGAUUGCCCCAGUAACGGCGAGUGAAGCGGCAAAAGCUCAAAUUUGAAAUCUGGCCUCCUACGGGGGUCCGAGUUGUAAUUUGUAGAGGAUGCUUCGGGUGUGGCCGCCGUCUAAGUUCCUUGGAACAGGACGUCAGAGAGGGUGAGAAUCCCGUCUUGGGCGGCCGGUCCGCGCCCGUGUGAAGCUCCUUCGAAGAGUCGAGUUGUUUGGGAAUGCAGCUCUAAGCGGGUGGUAAAUUUCAUCUAAAGCUAAAUACUGGUCGGAGACCGAUAGCGAACAA